GGGAGGCGCCAGCUUCCUCCUUUCCCUGUCGCCCGUCGCUGUGGUAAGGCGGCUGCGGGAGCGCCGGGUUCCUGACGGGCGGGGGAAGGGGUGGUCCUUGCUGGCCUCUUCCCUUCACAUCUUGCCCUCUCGGAGCCUGGCGGUGCUUCGGGGAGUCAACACAGGGGGAUAGAGCACCUUUCCCUCACAAAAACCCAGUGCGGAGCCUUCCCCUCCGCCCUGCAUCCUGUCGUGAGGCACAAGCGGUCCCGCUCCCUCUCUUCCCCGGCCUCCCUAGCUCUCAGGGCUGACUUAUCUCUCUACUUCCCGCAGUGUGGAGGGACGAAGGCAGCGGGAAGCGUCCCAUGGCACCGGCAAGGCUGCCAGAUGGCCCCGAAGGCUUUGUCUGUUGGGUGGCCGUGCCCGGCGUGAGCAGCAGACACGGGGUAGUAGGCCUUGCUAGCGGGGAGCGCUGGGGAGUUGGAGUCGUGCCUUUGACCGCCCAUAGAGGCCCCACUUAGCAAUUUCAUGUUUGAAAUAUUUUAAAUGUGGAUGAUGAAACCCCAACUGGAAGCAAUGCUCAGGGCUUCUUAGGAACAUAGACCUUCUGCUAGAAGCUUUGUCAAGUCUGGUGCUUUAUGGACAUGUGAUAAAUGCCUUCAGUGAAAAGAGGUCCUUGAAAACUGGUUGAUCUCCAGGUAUGUAGCGUAAAAGGGUUUAUCAGAUGUUAGGGGAUGGGUUGCCUUCUGUAUCUGAAGUUUAAUUUAUUCCUUACCUGAAAACGAAACAAACAAAAAAAAACAAACCCACCAAAAGCUCAACCUUAGGCCAGUUACCUCUUUUGUGUAUGCAGGAUGCUGACUGCAAAUAAAAUGUCUUUUACAGGAAGAAAACCAGCAUGCGCAAGGGACUUGAACUGAUAUUAAACAUCUUAUGGUUUCAAGGAGCAGCCAGUUUCUGAACUCAUACUAGAUGGCUCCAGUUGUCACCUGCAAUGUAUUGUCUUGAAAGUGGAAUUGAGACAAACAGUUGCUAAAACUAUGUCCCUUCAAUGAUCAUGUUUAAACAGGAACCUCACCUUUUGUUGAAAUAGGUUUCUUACAAAAACUCAUGUAACUUAUGUCUGUGUGGAUUAAUUGAAAUAAAAUAUGAGAAUGCUACCAGAA
Long non-coding RNA from Neopsephotus bourkii (Bourke's parrot), 1145 nucleotides. RefSeq lists it as uncharacterized. The transcript is spliced from 3 exons. The record is from RefSeq and is a predicted model, not a curated record. NCBI's taxonomy places the organism in Eukaryota, Metazoa, Chordata, Aves, Psittaciformes, Psittacidae.